GUCCUUGUGGCUCAGUUGGUAGAGCAUGGUGUUUGCAAUGCCAGGGUUGUGGGUUCGAUUCCCACGGGGGACC
This 73-nucleotide transfer RNA is filed under the name Salmo salar (Atlantic salmon). It matches the Rfam family "tRNA". From Rfam's summary of the family: Transfer RNA (tRNA) molecules are approximately 80 nucleotides in length. Their secondary structure includes four short double-helical elements and three loops (D, anti-codon, and T loops). Lineage: Eukaryota; Metazoa; Chordata; Actinopteri; Salmoniformes; Salmonidae. The record is from Rfam by way of RNAcentral.